Molecule: ribosomal RNA, 221 nt
Filed under: uncultured bacterium
Lineage: Bacteria
Description: partial 16S ribosomal RNA
Rfam family: Bacterial small subunit ribosomal RNA
Source: RNAcentral
GAUCCUGGCUCAGGACGAACGCUGGCGGCGUGCCUAAUACAUGCAAGUAGAACGCUGAAGAGAGGAGCUUGCUCUUCUUGGAUGAGUUGCGAACGGGUGAGUAACGCGUAUGCAACUUGCCUAUCAGAGGGGGAUAACCCGGCGAAAGUCGGACUAAUACCGCAUGAAGCAGGGAUCCCGCAUGGGAAUAUUUGCUAAAGAUUCAUCGCUGAUAGAUAGGC